RNAcentral lists this long non-coding RNA (881 nucleotides) under Sorghum bicolor (sorghum). Its description in RNAcentral is "long non-coding RNA (SBIC_LNC006328)". The record is from RNAcentral. Lineage: Eukaryota; Viridiplantae; Streptophyta; Magnoliopsida; Poales; Poaceae.
AGGUGUGUGUAUGGGUUUUCCUCACCUUUUCCUGAGAAAGGUUGUUUUUGAAUAAAUUCUAUGUAUUCGGGGUCUAUCUCAAAACUAGAUGCUAUGAUAGGCUUUGAAGAUUUUGGUGGUUCGAGAUGUGUGCCCAUAGGUCUAUGAAAUUCAUAGAUAGACAUGUUUGAAUUCAUAAUAGACCAGAGAUCAAGGAUUAGAUAAGAAGAAAGAAUAGCAGAGAUGAGGCAAAGGAUAAAAGGAAAAUAUAUUUUUUUAUUUAUUUUUUAGAAAAUGAUUAAACUAGUUCGUAGUCAACUCAGCAACCGUUUCCCCGGCAACGGCGCCAAAAAUGCUUGUUGACACUUGCUAACACCACUUGAAUACUAGGUUGUCAUCCCCAGCAUGGCACUAGAGUGUACUAUGGUAUUUAUACGCACACAGAUAAUCCGCAAGCGCACGGAUACCGUUGAAGCUUUUACCCGGUUAAAGGUUUUAUCGUAUCCACAGGGAAACGGGAGAACCAACUACUCUCUAACUUAACCAAGAUAGAUAGAUAGGUGUAAAUAGGAAAGAUGGUAGAAUCGAAUAAGAACAAUAUUAAAGGUAAGAUAACAGUGAGUGAUAAUAUGGGAAUAGAGAAUAGAGCAAUUCUAGUAUAUGGGCGAUGGUAGCAGAAUAGAGAGGAUAACUAUGGUUUCUCUACUUCAAAGGGGUAUGUCUAUGUCUGGGACGAACCACGUGAUAAGAGUACACCACAAAGGAUGCUUAUCCAUAGGCCGAUAAACCCUACCCGUCCUACUAACGAGAGGUGGACUACAGGGGACCAACGUAACUGUCACCUACGCGGCCUACCACACGAUCCAGCUAGUCAGGGGAUAUCCACAAGUAAUCUAGGUCUA